CCCAAAUGCUGGGACCAGCUCCCCCAGGCUAAAGGAGACAAGUCUGGACCAGGACGAGAUCCCAGUAACAAUGCCGGCCGCCUGAGCUUCACACCAUGUACACAUACUGCUGCCUGGCGCCUGGGCAGGACGUCUGGCCUCUGCUGCAGCACCUCACCUACACCUACCUGCCCGCCCCUCCGCCGCUGCCCCCCAUUCAGGCCCACAACUUCUGCAGCCGGCCCCCGAGCCUGAGCGCGGGCGAGUGGACGGCUCCGCGGGAAUACCACUGCUUCCACGCCACGGGCGCGACGCUAGUGGUCACGCCGCCCUUGUGGGCCUUCCCGCAGGCCUACGCCGCGGCCCUGCAACCGCCGUUCCCAGCGCCCAGCUACCCAGGGCCGUCACUGCAGGAGCCCGCAGCUGCGGGGCUGGCGGCGGUCGAGAACGGGACGCAGUGGCCGGAAGGCGGCAGCCUGCAAGCUGAGCUGCGAUGGGGCCGCGUGGAGCGUGCGCUCGGGCCGCGCCUCGAGCUGCCGGACUUCGUGCGCCGGGAGCUGCGGCGAGCGUACGGCACGUACCCACGCACCGACGUGCGCGUCACCUAUCGCGGCGGCGAGUUCCUGCUGCAGGGCGCGCCGCGCGUGCGCGAGACCGAGUACCGUAUGGAGAGGCGAGUGCUCCGCCGGCCAGCCAGCAGCUGCAGCGGUGACAGCAGCCCCGCGGGGGAAGCGGCGGAGCGCGGCCGCCGGAAGAAGAGGAAAGACUUGAGCUGAGGGCGCCGCGAGGCCCGGCGGCCGGCCAGGGUUAUUGCUGGAUGGCGGGGCAAGGGCGAGAAUGGAUCAAGGACAUCUCUGGGUCCAGACCCUUGAAGUCUCUCAACUUACCCCAUCUUGGGACUUCCCUAGUGGCGCAGUGGUUAAGAAUCCGCCUGCCAAUGUAGGGGACAUGGGUUUGAGCCCUAGUCCGGGAAGAUCCCACAUGCUGUGGAGCAACUAAGUCCAUGCACCACAACUACUGAGCCUGCGCUCUAGAGCCCGCGAGCCACAACUACUGAGCCUGCACACCACAACUACUGAGCCUGCGAGCCACAACUACUGAGCCCACGUGCCUAGAGCCCGUGCUCUGCAACAAGAGAAGCAACUGCAGUGAGAAGCCCGCGCACCGCAACGCGAAGAGUAGCCCCCGCUCACUGCAACUAGAGAAAGAUUGCACGCAGCAAUGAAGACCCAACACAGCCAAAAUUAAUUAAUUAAUUUUAAAAAAAGAACUAAGUACACAUCCCCAAAAAUUCCAUUCACAGGAAUUUAAAAACAAAAAAACAAAAAAAACACUUCCCCCAUCUCUGAGAAUCCGCAUUGCUCACAUUCUUCCCCCAAGUCUUCCACAUAUGCCCUGGAAAUGCCCAGAGACUGCACACAAUAUACCCCUAUCCCCCAGCUCCAGUGAGGGAGGAGGCCCCCAAUUACAGGCUUUUUGAAGGAAGUACUGCCACUCAGCUCAGUCCAACAGGCCAAUCCUUCCAAACCCCAGUGCUUGCUUCAGCCCUAAGGAUGUAAGGAAGCCCUGCAGGGAGCCUAGAUGCUUCUUUGUUUGAUCUUUUCUUUGAACUUAACCCUUAGAAGCUUAGAACUCAUAAAACAUCUGGGCUGCCAGGGACUUUACUGUUCACCUGGCCCAACCUCCUCAGUUGACCUUACGCUGGGAAACCAAGGCCAGAGAGGAGUGACUCACCCAAUGUCACACAGUAGUUGGGAAUCCAGAGCUUCUAGAUCCCAGCAGGGAUUGGGCUACCAAACUCAUCUUGAUGGCCUUCUCCUCCUGGCCUCGCCCCAGCUUUACCCAACCCUGGCAUCUGGUCUAGAGCCCUUUGCUCAAUAAACCCUGACUGACCAAUUUUAAACCCUAGCCUACCUCCCAACUGGGUAGCUCACAUCCUACUGAAGGGAGGAUAAUAAGAAUCAUA
Molecule: RNA transcript, 1945 nt
Organism: Balaenoptera ricei (Rice's whale)
Lineage: Eukaryota; Metazoa; Chordata; Mammalia; Artiodactyla; Balaenopteridae
Gene: C16H10orf95
Gene name: chromosome 16 C10orf95 homolog
Exons: 4
Source: RefSeq, a predicted model, not a curated record